Molecule: ribosomal RNA, 235 nt
Filed under: uncultured bacterium
Lineage: Bacteria
Description: partial 16S ribosomal RNA
Rfam family: Bacterial small subunit ribosomal RNA
Source: RNAcentral
UGGCGGACGGGUGAGUAAUGUCUGGGAAACUGCCCGAUGGAGGGGGAUAACUACUGGAAACGGUAGCUAAUACCGCAUAACGUCGCAAGACCAAAGAGGGGGACCUUCGGGCCUCUUGCCAUCGGAUGUGCCCAGAUGGGAUUAGCUAGUAGGUGGGGUAAAGGCUCACCUAGGCGACGAUCCCUAGCUGGUCUGAGAGGAUGACCAGCCACACUGGAACCGAGACACGGUCCAG